This 451-nucleotide ribosomal RNA is filed under the name uncultured bacterium. Its description in RNAcentral is "bacterial SSU rRNA". It matches the Rfam family "Bacterial small subunit ribosomal RNA", at positions 8 to 461 of the family's 1533-position model. The record is from RNAcentral.
AGACUUUGAUCCUGGCUCAGAUUGAACGCUGGCGGCAUGCUUUACACAUGCAAGUCGAACGGCAGCACGGGCUUCGGCCUGGUGGCGAGUGGCGAACGGGUGAGUAAUGCGUCGGAACGCGCCGAGUAGUGGGGGAUAACGCAGCGAAAGCUGUGCUAAUACCGCAUACGUACUGAGGUAGAAAGUGGGGGACCUUCGGGCCUCACGCUAUUCGAGCGGCCGACGUCUGAUUAGCUAGUUGGUGGGGUAAAGGCUCACCAAGGCGACGAUCAGUAGCGGGUCUGAGAGGAUGAUCCGCCACACUGGGACUGAGACACGGCCCAGACUCCUACGGGAGGCAGCAGUGGGGAAUUUUGGACAAUGGGCGCAAGCCUGAUCCAGCCAUGCCGCGUGUCUGAAGAAGGCCUUCGGGUUGUAAAGGACUUUUGUCCGGGAGCAAAGCCUACUUGUU